UACGGAGGGUGCAAGCGUUAUCCGGAUUCACUGGGUUUAAAGGGUGCGUAGGUGGGCAGGUAAGUCCGAGGUGAAAUCCUAUAGCUUAACUAUAGAACUGCCAUGGAUACUAUCUGUCUAGAAUGUCGUAGAGGUAAGCGGAAUAUGCCGUGUAGCGGUGAAAUGCUUAGAUAUGACGUAGAACACCAGUUGCGAAGGCAGCUUACUAUGCGAUGAUUGACACUGAGGCACGAAAGCUUGGGUAGCAAACAGG
RNAcentral lists this ribosomal RNA (253 nucleotides) under uncultured bacterium. RNAcentral describes it as "partial 16S ribosomal RNA". It matches the Rfam family "Bacterial small subunit ribosomal RNA", at positions 524 to 776 of the family's 1533-position model. The record is from RNAcentral.